GACGAACGCUGGCGGCGUGCUUAACACAUGCAAGUCGAACGGAAAGGCCCUGCUUUUGUGGGUUGCUCGAGUGGCGAACGGGUGAGUAACACGUGAGUAACCUGCCCUUGACUUUGGGAUAACUUCAGGAAACUGGGGCUAAUACCCGAUAGGAGCUCCUGCUGCAUGGUGGGGGUUGGAAAGUUUCGGCGGUUGGGGAUGGACUCGCGGCUUAUCAGCUUGUUGGUGGGGUAGUGGCUUACCAAGGCUUUGACGGGUAGCCGGCCUGAGAGGGUGACCGGCGACAUUGGGACUGAGAUAGGGCGCAGACGCGUACGGGAGGCAACAGUGGGGAAUAUUGCACAAUGGGCGGAAGCCUGAUGCAGCAACGCCGCGUGCGGGAUGACGGCCUUCGGGUUGUAAACCGCUUUCGCCGGUGACGAAGAGUGAGUGACGGUAAUGGGUAAAGAAGCACCGGCUAACUACGUG
This 468-nucleotide ribosomal RNA is filed under the name uncultured bacterium. RNAcentral describes it as "partial 16S ribosomal RNA". It matches the Rfam family "Bacterial small subunit ribosomal RNA", at positions 28 to 507 of the family's 1533-position model. The record is from RNAcentral.